UUACGGUCAUAUAGCGUUGAAACACCAGUCUCCGUAUGAUUACUGAAGUUAAGCACUGUUGAGACUGAUCAGUAACUAGAAGGGUGACCGCUUGGGAAUACCAGGUGUUGUAU
Molecule: non-coding RNA, 113 nt
Organism: Acanthosepion pharaonis
Lineage: Eukaryota; Metazoa; Mollusca; Cephalopoda; Sepiida; Sepiidae
Source: the annotation of a GenBank genome assembly